RNAcentral lists this unclassified non-coding RNA (197 nucleotides) under uncultured Ceratobasidiaceae. RNAcentral's name for it is "sequence contains ITS1". Lineage: Eukaryota; Fungi; Basidiomycota; Agaricomycetes; Cantharellales; Ceratobasidiaceae. The record is from RNAcentral.
UUGAAUGAAUUUAGAGUUGGUUGUUGCUGGCCCCCCUUCCUGAGGCAUGUGCACACCUUCUCUUUCAUCCACACACACACCUGUGCACUUGUGAGAUGUGGAGGGCUGGAAAUUCUAUUCUCAACCCUUCCAUCUGCUAUUACACAAACUCAAUUUAAUUUAAGCUGAAUGUAAUUGAUGUAACACAUCUAAUAUAC